UGUUACCACCUGGUUUCGAACCUGGGACAUUCCGCGUGUGAAGCGGACGUGAUAACCACUACACCAUGGGAAC
This 73-nucleotide transfer RNA is filed under the name Araneus ventricosus. Its description in RNAcentral is "tRNA-Val". Lineage: Eukaryota; Metazoa; Arthropoda; Arachnida; Araneae; Araneidae. The record is from RNAcentral.